AACGAACGCUGGCGGCACGCUUAAUACAUGCAAGUCGUACGAGAAAGUUCCUUCGGGGAUGAGUAAGUGGCGCACGGGUGAGUAACACGUAGGUGACCUGCCUUAUAGUGGGGGAUAACAGUAAGAAAUUAUUGCUAAUACCGCAUAAGUUGUAAAAGUUUGGAGACAUUUACAAGAAAGAUGGCCUCUACAUGUAAGCUAUCACUAUAAGAAGGGCCUGCGGGCCAUUAGCUAGUUGGUGGGGUAAAGGCCUACCAAGGCGAUGAUGGCUAGCCGGUCUGAGAGGACGAUCGGCCACACUGGAACUGAGACACGGUCCAGACUCCUACGGGAGGCAGCAGUAGGGAAUCUUGCGCAAUGGGCGAAAGCCUGACGCAGCGAUGCCGCGUGAGUGAGGAAGGCC
Molecule: ribosomal RNA, 403 nt
Filed under: uncultured bacterium
Lineage: Bacteria
Description: bacterial SSU rRNA
Rfam family: Bacterial small subunit ribosomal RNA
Source: RNAcentral